Molecule: ribosomal RNA, 396 nt
Filed under: uncultured bacterium
Lineage: Bacteria
Description: partial 16S ribosomal RNA
Rfam family: Bacterial small subunit ribosomal RNA
Source: RNAcentral
AUACGUAGGUGACAAGCGUUAUCCGGAUUUACUGGGCGUAAAGGGCGUGUAGGCGGUCUUGCAAGUCAGAUGUGAAAAUCCAGUGCUCAACAUUGGACGUGCAUUUGAAACUGUUUAGCUAGAGUACCGGAGAGGUAAGAGGAAUUCCUAGUGUAGCGGUGAAAUGCGUAGAUAUUAGGAGGAACACCAGUGGCGAAGGCGGCCUGCUGGACGACAACUGACGCUGAGGCGCGAAAGCGUGGGGAGCAAACAGGAUUAGAUACCCUGGUAGUCCACGCUGUAAACGAUGAUUACUAGUUGUUGGGGACCAAAGGUCCUCGGUGCCGCCGCAAACGCAUUAAGUAAUCCACCUGGGGAGUACGUUCGCAAGAAUGAAACUCAAAUGAAUUGACGGGG